This is a long non-coding RNA of Dermacentor silvarum, 353 nucleotides long. RefSeq lists it as uncharacterized. The transcript is spliced from 4 exons. The record is from RefSeq and is a predicted model, not a curated record. NCBI's taxonomy places the organism in Eukaryota, Metazoa, Arthropoda, Arachnida, Ixodida, Ixodidae.
AGCUAAACGAUCAAGGGAAUGACAGUUGGCGCAGUGCUUGUAUUUUUGGGCCUCCUUGGACCGUCGAUGGGAUACAAACCUGAGGGAACGCUUCUUCAUCAAUGCAAAGACAAGGAUAGAGGAGUGAUACCAUCUGGGUAUAGCGAGAAGACGGUGACAGAAAUAAAGACGGAAUGCAUUUACUGGUGCAAAUCAAGUGCUAAUGAUGAAAUGUGGUAUUAUGGACACAUAUCUGAUGGCGCACAGUGCAAAAAACGCAAAAGGCCGGGACGAUGCAGACAGGGCUAUUGCAUUGCCGGCCAACAUUCGAGCAGGGGACCAGAUGAUGACGACGAUCAUCAGGUCACGACGCC